CCUACGGGAGGCAGCAGUAGGGAAUCUUCCACAAUGGACGAAAGUCUGAUGGAGCAACGCCGCGUGAGGGAAGAAGGGUUUCGGCUCGUAAAGCUCUGUUGGUAGUGAAGAAAGAUAGAGGUAGUCACUGGCCUUGAUUUGACGGUAAUUACUUAGAAAGUCACGGCUAACUACGUGCCAGCAGCCGCGGUAAUCCGUAGGUGGCAAGCGUUGUCCGGAUUUAUUGGGCGUAAAGCGGGUUCAGGCAGUUCAAUAAGUCUGAUGUGAAAGCCUUCGGCGCAACCGGAGCAUUGCAUCAGAAACUGUUGAACUUGAGUGCAGAAGAGGAGAGUGGAACUCCAUGUGUAGCGGUGGAAUGCGUAGAUAUAUGGAAGAACACCAGUGGCGAAGGCGGCUCUCUGGGCUGCAACUGACGCUGAGGCUCGAAAGCAUGGGUAGCGAACAGGAUUAGAUACCCGGGUAGUC
RNAcentral lists this ribosomal RNA (465 nucleotides) under uncultured bacterium. RNAcentral's name for it is "partial 16S ribosomal RNA". It matches the Rfam family "Bacterial small subunit ribosomal RNA", at positions 338 to 795 of the family's 1533-position model. The record is from RNAcentral.